This 118-nucleotide unclassified non-coding RNA is filed under the name uncultured Archaeorhizomyces. RNAcentral describes it as "sequence contains ITS1". The record is from RNAcentral. Lineage: Eukaryota; Fungi; Ascomycota; Archaeorhizomycetes; Archaeorhizomycetales; Archaeorhizomycetaceae.
UCGAACGGGGCCCUCGUGCCCCUCGACUCACAAACCAGGUGGAAUUGACCCGUGCUUCGGCGCUCCGGCGCCGCCUCGACGCGUAAAUCCGUCGUAUGUCUGAAUCACAUAAGAAUCA